Long non-coding RNA from Triticum aestivum (bread wheat), 618 nucleotides. RefSeq lists it as uncharacterized. NCBI's taxonomy places the organism in Eukaryota, Viridiplantae, Streptophyta, Magnoliopsida, Poales, Poaceae. The transcript is spliced from 3 exons. The record is from RefSeq and is a predicted model, not a curated record.
UCGGACCCUGCCUAGCCAGCAGCCCAAGCUUGAGGAGCUCUCGUUCCCCUCCAUUGCCACCAUGGCCUCCACCUCUAACCUCCUCGAUUAGCUCUAGCCCGAGCCCCUCCCUCCUUCUCUCCACAACCAGCAAAACCCCUCCACCUAGUAGAGUCUCCCUACCCCUUCAUCUCGUUGCCGGAGUGCCAUAGCAGCGAGCCCAUCUCUGGCCGUAGCCACCGUCCUCCGUGGAUGCUGCUCUGCUCAACUCCGAGCUCCCCGGGGCUGAGUCGCCCAGGGAUUGGACCGCCUCGCUCUACUGAUUCCAACGGUGGGUGCACGCCACCUGUGGUGGCCUGUGUCACCGGCAAUCGCCGUCGAGGAGGCCAUCUGCCUCGGCUCGUUGCGCCCCCGAGCGAGACGAAGAAGAAGCCAGCCAAGGCCAUCGCCCGUGGACCCCACCCAUCAGUCUAACAGAAGAGUUGACUAGCCCCGCUCACCGAAAACGUUAAAUUGUGAACGUUCACUAUUUAAGCCACUUUUCUGCCUAAAAGGUGAACGAGGACAACAUUUCAUCCGUCACUCCGAUUGAGCCCCUCUGAGAGAGAACCGUUCUCUGGAAAAAUUUCCGCGAGUUGA